GAUGAACGCUGGCGGCGUGCCUAAUACAUGCAAGUCGAGCGAACAGACGAGGAGCUUGCUCCUUUGACGUUAGCGGCGGACGGGUGAGUAACACGUAGGUAACCUACCUAUAAGACUGGGAUAACUUCGGGAAACCGGAGCUAAUACCGGAGAAUAUUUCGAACCGCAUGGUUGGAUAGUGAAAGAUGGCUUUGCUAUCACUUAUAGAUGGACCUGCGCCGUAUUAGCUAGUUGGUAAGGUAACGGCUUACCAAGGCAACGAUACGUAGCCGACCGGUGAGGGUGAUCGGCCACACUGGAACUUGGACACCGUCCAGACUCCUACGGGAGGCAGCAGUCGGGAAUCUUCCGCAGUGGGCGAAAGCCUUACGGAGCAACGCCGCGUGAGUGAUGAAGGUCCUCGGAUCGUAAUACUCUGUUAUGAGUGAAGAACAAACGUGUAAGUAGCUGUGCACUUCUUGACGGUACCUAAUCAGAAAGCCCCGGCUAACUACGUG
This 497-nucleotide ribosomal RNA is filed under the name uncultured bacterium. RNAcentral's name for it is "partial 16S ribosomal RNA". It matches the Rfam family "Bacterial small subunit ribosomal RNA", at positions 28 to 507 of the family's 1533-position model. The record is from RNAcentral.